CCCAUUUCAUUUUCCUGAACCAAACACAAACACAAAAUUAAAAAAAAUAUAUUUUUCAAAAAAUAAAGUUAAGAAAUAAACAAACCCUAAAAUUUUAAAAUCCAAAUUUAAAGCUACAUAAAAUAAUAUUGAAUCCAACCUAAAAUGUUAAACUUCAAAAUUUUAAUACAAUACCUAAGCUAUUAUAAGGACUCAAUUUCCAAAGUGGAGUAAAGCUUAAUCAUUUCAUCCAGAUUUGAAAUAGCCCGGACUUAAAUAUAAUUUGUAUCUGAAAAGGAUCAAACUGGAAAUGGUUUGAACCUGGCAUAACUCCUACUUGAAAUGAACCUGAGCUGAAAUCAAUUAAAAUCCGAAGUGAUCCAAAUACAAAAUCAAGUUGACCGGAAUCUGUCCAAACCCAUCCUUUGGCCACAUCUACUGAAUACCGAUCACCGAGAUUCCUUUUGAAGCUUCUUAGGAAGGGCCUUUUGAGCUCUUGUAAAGCAUUCAUCAAUUCAAACACAGCCUUCUUAUUCUUCAAUGUCUCUGCAAUUGUUGCAAUGGCAAUCGGCAAUUCUGCACAUCUUUGGGCCACUUCAUUUGUUGUACAAUACAAGUCAUAGCCUUCAACAAUAUCACCACCCAUGAUUUUAAACAGGUUCCAUGCUGCUUCUUGAUUGAAAAUCUUGAUGGCAAAUGGUCUUUGAACACCCAUGGAGGAUAAAACAUUGAAGUUUCUAGAUGUCAACAAGAUCUUGCAUCCCAUGUUUUUACCACUAGAUGGAAUUCCAAGAGCUCCCAAAUCCAAUGGCACCCAAAUAUCAUCCAAAAUUAUAAGAACCUUGUCUUGUUUAUCAAAGUUAAGGUCGCUCAGGAUUUUCUCAAUGUUGGGAGAUUGUGAUAUCGUGACAACGACCACCUUAUCAAACAACUCCAACUUGGCAAGUCGAGCAACUUCUUUGACUAGUAUCGCCAUGGGCUGUCUACGAGCUCCAUACACCCCAACUAUGGUGGAAUCAUCAUUUUUCAAGGCCUCCAUGACUCUUUUUAAGGCACCUGUUGUUGAACCAUUGGCAGGUCUGGGAGCAGGACGGUAGGAAACGCUAUCGAAUCGGCCUUUCCCCAAGAGUUGAGCAAUGGCGUCGGCCUCUUUCUCUGCUGUCUUGCUGAGCAGGUAACGAGACUUGAAGUUGGGGCAGAGUCCGAUCAAACACUUUUCAUUUGCUUUCUCUUCAUCUUCCUUUAACUUGGUUUCAGCCAUCUCAGAGAUCUUGUGAUCAACCAUGGUCAACCAUUUGUCCACGUCGUUGUAAAUCUUCCGGCCUUGGCGUUUAGCAGCAUCAACGGAUUGCUGGACUCUCUGUCUUGCAUCUUUCAGGUCGUUCACUCCCUCCCUGAGAUUCUCAAGGUUGGUUUUAUAGUUUUGGAUGUAAGUCAUCUCUUGUUUGAUGAGAUCAAAUGCCAACUCCCCAGCUUUUCCACCAAUCGAAGCAAUAACAGCUUCCAUUUCUUUCUCUUUCUCAACUUCUGCUGAAGUAAAGAUGGCUCUGGUUGUUUUCUAGAUAACCAAUACAUUCAAGUGAACGAGCGACUAGUUGUAUUGUAAAAUAGGACUAUAGAAAUGGUCAAUGGUUAAUAAAUUAUUGUAAUUUCUUGGUUUUUUUCCCCAGAGAUGAGCUGUAGAUUCUUCUCUCCUAAUCACACUGACCGAUAGUGCGUGUGAAAAGCUGAAAGUUGCAGACGUGCUUUUUGACUUAAAUAUUUUUUUGGAAGAAAACAAUUAAGGCCAAGUAAAGGCAAUAAAGGAUUCAUAAGCAGUUUUGAUCCCUUAAUUAAAAAAAUUACAAUUUAAUUAUUGAAUAUAUAGUAUUAAUUUUAACAACCUACAUAUUAUUAUAAUUUUAUCUAUAAUAUAAUUAGUUUGUCAUAAAGACAAGACAAAUUCUCACUUAAUAAUAUUCAAUAAUUUCUCAAAAUAAAUUUCAUAUUUAAUUUUAUCUAUAAUAUGAGUAAAUAUUUGAUACGUUAUUUAUUUUAUAAGUAACUUUAAUCUUAAAAACAAACAUUACAUUAACUUAUCCCACAAGGUUAGCCAAAUAUUUUUUUCUUUUUUGUUCUAUUUCUAAUUGAAAAACUAGAGAAUACUAUUUCUUUUCUCUUCUUUCAACCGAUCUUCGUAAGAGUGAGAAAAAUUCGAUUCUAUUUGAAAAAAAAAAGUUUUGAUUUUCAAUUUAAUCAAAUCAAGUUGUUUGAGUUAUUCGAGUCAACUCGAAUAAGUAAUUCGAUCUUAGAGUUUGAGUCGAGUUAAAUUUUACAAUUUGAAUUACUCGAAUAAUGCGAAUAACAGAUUGGUGUAAAUACUCCUUUGGUCCCUCUCAAUUUUAAAAAUAAGCAAAUUGGUCUCUCUCAACAAAAAUUACAAAUAGAAUUUAAAAUAAUUUUCAAAAAUUCAAAAUAAUUUUUAAAAUUGAAAAUAUUUGUAAAAAUUCUAAAAAUUCUAAAAAAAAGGGAAAGUUAAAAUUUUAGAAAUCUUCUAAAAUAAUAAUUUUUUGAACUUAAAUAAUUUAAUUAAUGAUUCAAGUCAAUCGCACUAAAACAUCUUCUUCUUCUUUUUUGCUUUGAAUUUUUUUUUCAAAUUUAUAUGUGUUCUAACAUGAAAUUAGUUACUGUAACAAGAUUUUAAUUUAACUUGAACAAUUUCACUCAUUUCGAAUUUCAUUUCACUUAACUUAAUUCGAAAAAAUUUCAAAUCGAGUUAGGAUUAUAAAAUAUGACUCGUCAACUCGAUUAACUCAAUAUUUUCACUCGAUUCGACUCGUUUUGAUUGAACCCUCACUCCUACAUCUUUGAGUAGAAACACUGGAGAUAAGUGUUAAGUAUUAGAUUAACAUUCAUGUUCUCAAUUUUUAUUUUGUUCUGUUAGUUUCAUUUUUCGUUGUUAUUAUUUAUUUAGCUCUGGAAUUUGUUAUUUUCCCUUAAAUUGAUACAUUAUCUUAAGUUAGUAUUUUAAUUUUCAUUCUGUCUAUAUAAGUACUUCUUUGUAACGCUAUUAUACAUUACACAAUUUACCAUUUCUACUUUGAUACCAAUUCAUUUCAUUCAUCCACACAUCACAUGUACAUGUCAAAUUAUUCUCAAUUUCAACAAUCUCAAAAUAUAACAUAUAUACAAUACCAUUUGGCCAUAUCAAGUUAACCAUUAUUAAUCUAUAUAUCAACAUGAUCAUAUCAUAUACAAAACCAAAUCAAAACCUUGGUACAUGCCUUAUAUCAAAAUGUAAAAGAAACUAUACAAAUAUUGUUGAGUUAAGGGCUAUGGAUUGGAUGUUGAGUUACUUCUCGAGACUUCGAGAUCCACCUAAGGGUGGGUUUGGAUGGCGAUUGAGUAUAGUGCGAUGCGUUUAGCUUACUUUUUGUCUCACGCUACAAUAUAUAAUCUCACUGUCACCAUUUUUUUAAACUAACCACAACCACCACUCAUCUAAACCCACCCUAAACUUGUGUACGGAAUAACCAAACUGUAUGUUGAACGACAAAAUAUUUCAUUAUUCAAGUCAUCUAAUUGAAAACAUUAACAUGAUUAGAAUGAGAACAAGCAUGUUUAAGUUGCAGCCAUUCAAUAUCACUUAUUCAUGUCACAUAUAUAUAGAUAUAUGAAAAAAAGGGUAAAUCAUUUUACAGAAGAAAGUAACUUUUUGCGUUGACUAACACAAUAUUUUCCUUUAACCCAUUUCAUUUUCUUGAACCAAAUACAAAAAAUUUUAAAAAUAUAUUUUUCAAAAAAUAAAGUUAAGAAAUAAACAAACCCUAAAAAUUUAAAAUCCAAAUUUCACUUACCAAAUGCUACCUAAAAUGAUAUUGAAUCCAACCUAAAAUGUUAAACUUCAAAAUUUUAAUACAAUACCUAAGCUAUUAUAAGGACUCAAUUUCCAAAGUGGAGUAAAGCUUUAUCAUUUCAUCCACAUUUGAAAUAGUCCGGACUUAAAUAUAAUUUGUAUCUGAAAAGGAUCAAACUGGAAAUGGUUUGAACCUGGCAUAACUCCUACUUGAAA
This 4030-nucleotide long non-coding RNA is filed under the name Gossypium barbadense (sea-island cotton). RNAcentral's name for it is "long non-coding RNA (GBAR_LNC015275)". Lineage: Eukaryota; Viridiplantae; Streptophyta; Magnoliopsida; Malvales; Malvaceae. The record is from RNAcentral.